Molecule: ribosomal RNA, 447 nt
Filed under: uncultured bacterium
Lineage: Bacteria
Description: bacterial SSU rRNA
Rfam family: Bacterial small subunit ribosomal RNA
Source: RNAcentral
UGGGGAAUCUUGGACAAUGGGCGCAGGCCUGAUCCAGCCAUGCCGCGUGAGUGAAGAAGGCCUUCGGGUUGUAAAGCUCUUUUACCAGGGACGAUAAUGACGGUACCUGGAGAAUAAGCCCCGGCAAACUUCGUGCCAGCAGCCGCGGUAAUACGAAGGGGGCUAGCGUUGUUCGGAAUUACUGGGCGUAAAGCGCACGUAGGCGGAUUGUUAAGUCAGAGGUGAAAUCCCGGAGCUCAACUUCGGAACUGCCUUUGAUACUGGCAAUCUAGAGUCCGGAAGAGGUUAGUGGAAUUCCCAGUGUAGAGGUGAAAUUCGUAGAUAUUGGGAAGAACACCAGUGGCGAAGGCGGCUAACUGGUCCGGUACUGACGCUGAGGUGCGAAAGCGUGGGGAGCAAACAGGAUUAGAUACCCACGUAGUCCCUGAGCGGGCUGGCAAGGCGCAU